Molecule: long non-coding RNA, 1041 nt
Filed under: Vigna radiata
Lineage: Eukaryota; Viridiplantae; Streptophyta; Magnoliopsida; Fabales; Fabaceae
Description: long non-coding RNA (VRAD_LNC010321)
Source: RNAcentral
UGAAGGCAACUUCUUGUGUUUUUUUCAAAAUAAAGUCAUAUAUAACUUGCAAUUCAUAUUUCCCAUUUCCUUUUGCAAAGUGCUUCCGACAAUCACUUUUUCCAAGUGUUUUUUCAUUCAACUUAAUCUGCUCACCAACUAAACCCAACCCUAAGCUCAACGUAACAUCUACUUCCUGUAAUUCCACAAAUUUUUCUCCAAAACAAAAACCACCUUUCUAAUAAAUCGCUUAGAAUAUUCCUACCAAGCUUAAUGUCAUCAUUUAGUUCUAAAAACCAAUGAAAUGGAGUUUGUGAAAUAAUAGUCUUCUGCUUGUCAGUCAAAAUUUCAUUCAAACCACCAAUAAACUUGGUUUUCAUUGAAUGUCGAACAAACAACUCCAUCUGAAAAUAAAAAUUCUUUCAUGUAUUAAGUCGCGAUAAAACACAAAACCCAUAAAAAACCACAACCCAUAAAGAUAGAGCUUCAAUAUAACCAACAAAAACACAACGAAUACCUCAAACGAAUGAAGUACAUACCUUGUUGGAAGAACCAACGUCAGGGGUCAAAGCCAUUGCACAAAAUAACGAAGAAAGAACCACAAACUUCAAACAACCCUUCCACCGAGACCGGUUAAAGCACACCACGAACUCCAUAAACAACACACCAACUCAAAUGGUCACACAGUCAACACAACAAACACACAAAAUGAAAUCAAAAUCAAUAAACCUGAAAAUGGAAGACGGAAAAGAGAGUGCGAAGGAGAACGAGAGUGGUGGAACAGAGAACGAGAGUGUUGGGACAGAGAAGAACGACUGUGCGAAGGAGAGAGAACGAAAAUUUGAAAAUGAAAUCCCUAGCAUUGAGCAUCAACUCUUCUGGAAAGAGGAUUCAAUGAAAAAAUUAAGCGGGACAGUUUAGGAAAUUCAUCCAAAGCAUAUUUUCAUAUUAAAAAAAUGAAAUUCAAACCCAACCAAUUACAACGCGCCAUGUGGCGUUGUCAAAAGUAUUGUCAAAAAUCAGUUGUUAAAAUAUCGCUACCCAAUCUUCAAUUAGAAUGCA